GACGAACGCUGGCGGCGUGCUUAACACAUGCAAGUCGAACGGAAAGGCCCUGCGCUUGUUGGUUGCUCGAUUGGCGAACGGGUGAGUAACACGUGAGUAACCUGCCCUUGACUUUGGGAGAACUUCAGGAAACUGGGGCUAAUACCGCAUAGGAGCUCCUGCUGCAUAGUGGUGGUUGGAAAGUUUCGGCGGUUUGGGCUGGACUCGAGGCUUAUCAGCUUGUUUGUGGGGUAGUGGCUUACGAAGGCUUUGACGGGUAGCCGGCCUGAGAGGGGUACCGGGCACAAGGGGACUAAGGUACGGACCAGACGGCUAUGGGAGGCAGCAGUGGGGAAUCUGGCACAACGGGGGGACGCCUGAGGCAGAAACGCCGCGUGCGUGAUGCCGGCUUUCGGGGUGUAAACAGCUUUCGCAUGUGACGAAGCGUGAGUGACGGUAAUGGGUAAAGAAGCAACGGCUAACUACGUG
Molecule: ribosomal RNA, 468 nt
Filed under: uncultured bacterium
Lineage: Bacteria
Description: partial 16S ribosomal RNA
Rfam family: Bacterial small subunit ribosomal RNA
Source: RNAcentral